This 119-nucleotide ribosomal RNA is filed under the name Meriones unguiculatus (Mongolian gerbil). Lineage: Eukaryota; Metazoa; Chordata; Mammalia; Rodentia; Muridae. The record is from RNAcentral.
GUCUAUGGCCAUAGCACACUGAAUGCGCACUCGAUCAUUUGAUCUUAGAAGCUAAGCAGGAUCUGGCCUGGUUAGUACUUGGAUGGGAGAACACCUGGAAAUGCUGGGUGCUAUAGGCU